RNAcentral lists this ribosomal RNA (490 nucleotides) under uncultured bacterium. Its description in RNAcentral is "partial 16S ribosomal RNA". It matches the Rfam family "Bacterial small subunit ribosomal RNA", at positions 30 to 507 of the family's 1533-position model. The record is from RNAcentral.
AUUGAACGCUGGCGGCAGGCCUAACACAUGCCAGUCGAACGGUAACAGGAAGCAGCUUGCUGCUUCGCUGACGAGUGGCGGACGGGUGAGUAAUGUCUGGGAAGCUGCCUGAUGGAGGGGGAUAACUACUGGAAACGGUAGCUAAUACCGCAUAAUGUCGCAAGACCAAAGAGGGGGACCUUCGGGCCUCUUGCCAUCGGAUGUGCCCAGAUGGGAUUAGCUUGUUGGUGGGGUAACGGCUCACCAAGGCGACGAUCCCUAGCUGGUCUGAGAGGAUGACCAGCCACACUGGGACUGAGACACGGUCCAGACUCCUACGGGAGGCAGCAGUGGGGAAUAUUGCACAAUGGGCGCAAGCCUGAUGCAGCCAUGCCGCGUGUAUGAAGAAGGCCUUCGGGUUGUAAAGUACUUUCAGCGGGGAGGAAGGGAGUAAAGUUAAUACCUUUGCUCAUUGACGGUACCCGCAGAAGAAGCACCGGCUAACUCCGUG